RNAcentral lists this ribosomal RNA (391 nucleotides) under uncultured bacterium. RNAcentral's name for it is "bacterial SSU rRNA". It matches the Rfam family "Bacterial small subunit ribosomal RNA", at positions 30 to 415 of the family's 1533-position model. The record is from RNAcentral.
AGUGAACGCUGGCGGCAGGCCUAACACAUGCAAGUCGAACGGCAGCACGGCAGUAGCAAUACUGUGGGUGGCGAGUGGCGGACGGGUGAGGAAUACAUCGGGAUCUACCCUGUUGUGGGGGAUAACGUAGGGAAACUUACGCUAAUACCGCAUAAGAACUGAGGUUGAAAGCGGCGGACCGCAAGGCGUCGCGCGAUUGGAUGAACCGAUGUCCGAUUAGCUAGUUGGCGGGGUAAAGGCCCACCAAGGCGACGAUCGGUAGCUGGUCUGAGAGGACGACCAGCCACACUGGAACUGAGACACGGUCCAGACUCCUACGGGAGGCAGCAGUGGGGAAUAUUGGGCAAUGGGCGCAAGCCUGAUCCAGCCAUGCCGCGUGGGUGAAGAAGGC